AACGAACGCUGGCGGCAGGCCUAACACAUGCAAGUCGAGCGGACCUUUCGGGGUCAGCGGCGGACGGGUGAGUAACGCGUGGGAAUAUGCCCUUCUCUACGGAAUAGUCCUGGGAAACUGGGGGUAAUACCGUAUACGCCCUUUGGGGGAAAGAUUUAUCGGGGAAGGAUUAGCCCGCGUUGGAUUAGGUAGUUGGUGGGGUAAUGGCCUACCAAGCCGACGAUCCAUAGCUGGUUUGAGAGGAUGAUCAGCCACACUGGGACUGAGACACGGCCCAGACUCCUACGGGAGGCAGCAGUGGGGAAUCUGAGACAAUGGGGGCAACCCUGAUCGAGCCAUGCCGCGGGAGUGAUGAAGGCCUUAGGGUGGUAAAGCUCUUUCAGCUGGGAAGAUAAUGACGGUACCAGCAGAAGAAGCCCCGGCUAACUCCGUG
RNAcentral lists this ribosomal RNA (433 nucleotides) under uncultured bacterium. Its description in RNAcentral is "partial 16S ribosomal RNA". It matches the Rfam family "Bacterial small subunit ribosomal RNA", at positions 29 to 507 of the family's 1533-position model. The record is from RNAcentral.